This is a long non-coding RNA of Gekko japonicus, 786 nucleotides long. RefSeq lists it as uncharacterized. The transcript has 6 exons. The record is from RefSeq and is a predicted model, not a curated record. Lineage: Eukaryota; Metazoa; Chordata; Lepidosauria; Squamata; Gekkonidae.
GGGAGCAAAGAGUGUGUGAGGGCUGCUGGAGAUUUACAAUCUGCCUUCACGCUUUUGGGACCUAGGAAAAGAAGAGUUCCAACCAUGGACUGCAACUGAAAAGAAGUCUGUCUUAUGUGUGUGUGUUUUUGCAGAAGUUGAGGCUUUUUCCUCUGUUGCUUGCCGAAGUGUAAGCGGUGCCUUUAUCUCACGUUGAGGGAGGAUAUCUAAAAUUAGAAAACUGGCCUGAAGUGGAAAUUGGAAGAAUCUGGAAAUUUGGCAGCAUUCCUUUCCAGAGUGAUAUUUCUGCUGUCAUGAUAUAAUAAAGCUACCCUGGCCAGACUGGAAAAAUUACAGGCAUAUACUUCUGUGGAUGUCAUUAAACCGAGGGGAAUGCAGAUUAAUGAUUUUAAGGAGCAGACACUGAAGGCACACAGAGACACCUAAAUAAUUUCUCCACAGUUGAACGUAGAGAUCUCCAUGGUAACUCAAACUCCCAGACUCUUCUCACCAGCCUGCAAGAAGCAGUUUUCAACAGCUCAGAGGUCUUGCGACCAGAGCGUGGAUCGCACUUCUUGCAAACCUCAUCAUAUUGAGGUGGGGUUAAGAUGAGCAUAACCAGUGACGAAGUGAAUUUCUUGGUGUAUCGCUAUCUCCAGGAAUCAGGUUUCUCCCAUUCUGCCUUUACAUUUGGAAUAGAGAGUCAUAUUAGCCAGUCCAACAUCAAUGGAACACUAGUGCCACCUGCUGCCCUCAUCUCCAUCCUUCAGAAAGGUCUGCAGUAUGUGGAAGCUGAGAUCAGCAUCA